Molecule: unclassified non-coding RNA, 343 nt
Filed under: soil metagenome
Description: partial contains 5.8S ribosomal RNA, internal transcribed spacer 2, and large subunit ribosomal RNA
Rfam family: 5.8S ribosomal RNA (bases 1-120)
Source: RNAcentral
GAUGAAGAACGUAGCGAAAUGCGAUAAGUAAUGUGAAUUGCAGAAUCCAGUGAAUCAUCGAAUCUUUGAACGCACAUUGCGCCCGCCAGCAUUCUGGCGGGCAUGCCUGUUCGAGCGUCAUUUCAACCCUCGACCUCCCUUUGGGGAAGUCGGCGUUGGGGACCAGCAGCACACCGCCGGCCCUGAAAUGGAGUGGCGGCCCGUCCGCGGCGACCUCUGCGUAGUAAUCCAACUCGCACCGGAACCCCGACGCGGCCACGCCGUAAAACACCCAACUUCUGAACGUUGACCUCGAAUCAGGUAGGACUACCCGCUGAACUUAAGCAUAUCAAUAAGCGGAGGA